Long non-coding RNA from Portunus trituberculatus (swimming crab), 510 nucleotides. RefSeq lists it as uncharacterized. The transcript is spliced from 3 exons. NCBI's taxonomy places the organism in Eukaryota, Metazoa, Arthropoda, Malacostraca, Decapoda, Portunidae. The record is from RefSeq and is a predicted model, not a curated record.
CUAAAUGAAGGGUUCUCAACUUUGGGGUAGACGUAUCUCCUGUGGUAGACUACUGGAGAGGAAUUCUGUGGAUACGUGACAGGUAAUACAAUAGUCACUCUUGCUAGUUUUCUAUAGAUCGCGUCGUUUCUCACGCGUACGAAACAGGUACCGUCAUCACAAGCACGACUGUUAACACGCAGAUAUCAAAAGAUUUCCUUCUCUCGUGUGUCAUACUUUGAAGGUUUCGAGCAUGGAGAAUUGUUAAAUCAAGAGCAGGUACCGUCAUCACAAAUAAGACAUCAGAAAAUUUCCUUCUCUCGUGUGCCAUGCCUUGAAAGGUGGUGAAGUAGAAGUGGCUGGACACUGGAGUAUGGAAGAAUCAUCUAAAAUUUUUAAGUCUCCUCUCAGGGAAAUCAGUCGGUCGGGAAAAGCUUCUCUCAGGAAUCCCAUUGAAAUGCGUGCAAUGUGGGCUGUGGCCCCAUCUUGCUGGAACCACACGUUUCCAUUAUCCAGGUCCAUAUUAAUGAG